GGGAAGAUGGUGCUUAACUAUUCUAUAAGAAGUCCUGAAGAAUAUAAAUCAACCAUUUUUAAGUAAUUUAUUAUUUUCACUCCAAAAGUAACACAAUAUUCAUCUUAACAGAAGUUGGCAAUGCAAGAUCAUGGGAUUCCAAGAGACAAAAGAAAGCCAUUGAAGGAUUUCAAGGCUAUAAGAGGUACCUCAUGUGUGGAGAGUGGCAUGGGUUCAUAUGUGACAGAUGAACAUGUAUCUUAUUUAAUGAUACAUAUUACAGAGAAAGUUGGGGACAUAAAAGGAAAUAAACAUUAUUUACUAAUAGUGGGAGGUGAAAACAAAACUCAUCAACGUGGUAAGUGAUAAAAUUUAUGAUUAGAGAUUUUUCUCCUCAACUUUACUGUUUUCCAUUCUAUUUCUAUAUCUUCUUAAAGCUAUGGUGGGCACUAAGGCA
This 436-nucleotide long non-coding RNA is filed under the name Rhinopithecus bieti (black snub-nosed monkey). RNAcentral describes it as "lncRNA (ENSRBIG00000045308.1)". Lineage: Eukaryota; Metazoa; Chordata; Mammalia; Primates; Cercopithecidae. The record is from RNAcentral.